RNAcentral lists this ribosomal RNA (537 nucleotides) under uncultured bacterium. Its description in RNAcentral is "bacterial SSU rRNA". It matches the Rfam family "Bacterial small subunit ribosomal RNA", at positions 8 to 526 of the family's 1533-position model. The record is from RNAcentral.
AGAGUUUGAUCAUGGCUCAGAACGAACGUUGGCGGCGUGGAUGAGGCAUGCAAGUCGUACGAGAAAGGCGCAAGCCGAGUACAGUGGCGGACGGGUGAGUAACACGUGAGCAAGCUGCCCUAGAGACGGGGAUAACCAUGGGAAACUGUGGCUAAUACCCGAUGGCUCUGCUGGAUCGCAUGGUCCGGCAGAUAAAUGUGGGGGACCCUUCGGGGCCUCAUGCUCUGGGACGCGUUCACGGCCUAUCAGCUAGUUGGCGGGGUAACGGCCCACCAAGGCGAAGACGGGUAGCCGGCCUGAGAGGGUGGUCGGCCACAUUGGGACUGAGACACUGCCCAGACUCCUACGGGAGGCUGCAGUCGAGGAUCUUCCGCAAUGGGCGAAAGCCUGACGGAGCGACGCCGCGUGGAGGACGAAGGCCUUCGGGUUGUAAACUCCUGUCAAGGGUUAUGAAAGUACAGUCGUUAACAAUGACUGGGAUGACGUAAGCCCUGGAGGAAGCACCGGCUAACUCUGUGCCAGCAGCCGCGGUAAUUC